Cervus elaphus (red deer) is the source of this 2789-nucleotide long non-coding RNA. RefSeq lists it as uncharacterized. NCBI's taxonomy places the organism in Eukaryota, Metazoa, Chordata, Mammalia, Artiodactyla, Cervidae. The transcript is spliced from 4 exons. The record is from RefSeq and is a predicted model, not a curated record.
GAAUGGCAGACUAAUCUGGAGACUGGAGGCCUGGGGUUGGCAGUGGGGACGAGGGAGCAUGAAAGUGAGGGACGACGGAAAGACCCAGAGAGAAGGAAGAGGGAAAGGAGACAGAGAGAGAAGGAUGGACAGAGAAGAAGAAUUAGCAGAAGCGGAAUUGAAAGGGCCAGAUCCCCAGGCAGAGACCGGGAGGUGGGUCUGGCUGAGUAGGAGAGACAGAGAGGGCAUGCAGAAUGAAGAGACAACCUGGACAGAGGGGAGACGGGACUGGACCCAGAGGCAAGAGUCCAAAAGAGAAAGAUGAGCAAGCAGGAAGAGUUGGGGGAGGGAUCAGACAGUGUCCCCAGCAGGGGAGGGGCAGAGGCUGCCCUGCAGACCAUCCACACCCCCACCCUGCCCCGUAGUCCAGCCUCUACCCUGUGCGGCCCCAAACCAGACGCCCGGAGGCAGCCGAGGAAAUGAGAAGAAACUGGAUCCCUGGGCCAGGAGCCCGGUGAGGGGCCACCAGCCUGUUGCACAUUAUCCUGUGAGAAGAGGAGCCAGGUGGGAAACUGAGGCCCAGUGAGGGGAAGGGCUUCUCUGAGUUCUGCGUGUGUCCAGGGGCCAUCUGCAGAAGAUGAUGCUGGCCCUCACUGGCCUCCCUGCUGCCUGACUGCAGCGCACCAGAGCUGCCCUCGCCCUGGAGUCAGCGGUCAGCCUGGUGUUUACUGGGAGAGGAGGCCCUCUGGGGUGGAGCUGCGGGGAGCUGUGUGCCCCUAAGCACACCUAAGUGUCUGUAAAUACAGGAUGGAGUGGACGUGAGGCAGGGAGGCAGCAUGGUGGCGACAGGCCCAGCCUGCCCAGAGAGCCCUGUGGCCGGAGGUAAUUGGUGCCUUAUUAACUGUCUGAGAGAGGGAGCCAGCCCCACUGGGCCACUUCCCGGAACCUCCUCCACGUCCUUCACUCUGGGCAGCCCCAGCUCGGCUCUCCACACCCAGGGAGGCUCUUGCUCCCUGGCCCCUUGGGCUGGUGGCCACCAUGCCCCUCAGUGAAGGGUCCUCUGGUCAGUUCCAAGCCUCCAACCAGAGCUCCCUCCACGUGGCCGGGAUUCCCGCACUCUCAGGCUUUGGCGGAUGGCCUAUUUACCCUCAGACCAGGCUCUGAGGACAAGGUUGGGGUGCACCUCAGAGCAGGGUCUUCUGGAGCAGGACUGCUCCCUUCAAGACACGGACUCCAUGUCCACCAAGGAGGGACACACACCCUCGGCUUGGGCAGCGACCAGCUCUGACGCCGGCCAGCGUGGCAGCUGCCUUUCUUUGGAUGAAGGCACUGCCAUCAGCAGGAGGCGCCAUCAGAGUGCAGGCAUCUCCAGAAUAAUGGCAGGCAUCUCUCCUCGUUGGCCCGCCAUCUCCCAUUCUGCCAAAGGGCCUCUGUGGCCAUGUCCUGACCAUUCCAAUGGGGAAGGGGGAGCCACAGUUCGUCGCUGGUCGGCCACAAAUCCAGCCCAACCAGGGAAGGAAAAAAUGGAAACAGCCUUUAUCUGAAGGCCUGUCUUCACCACAGCCCUGGGAGGCUGAGACGAUCACAAAGCAUCAAGACUUGAUGGAGGGGUCUGAGAACAAGGGAUCUGAUGCCCUCAUUUUUCACAUGGGGAAACGGAGCCUCGGAGAGGCCAGGUGACGUGCCCGAGGUUCUUUGGUGGGUCAGAGUGAAGCCAAGACUGGAGGGCAGGUCUUCAGGUUCCUGCCAAGGCCCAGUCUGCCAGCCUCACCCAGCCUCUUCCUCCUCCCUUCUCUGCUGGACAAGAGGCCACCUCCUCCUUGAUCUCCAGCAAGGACUCAGAGAAGUGUCUGGGCAGCUGGAAGGUAUAUUUGGGGGAGCCUGAAUUCUAUGUCCUGUGCCACCCCAGCCUCACCUCUGGUCAUUGGUUCGGAGGGAGUGUCCAGGUGGGCACUGUAAGUCCAGCAGGCCAGGACUCUAGGCUCCCUGUUGUCUUGCUCCUGCCCUUGCCUAGAUGCCUCCGUGCCCUCCCUGCCCUGGUGUGGGCCCUGGUGGUCUCCCUGCCCUCCUGUGGAUCCCACUGCCUCUGCUCCUCCUCACGACAUCUCACAGGGCCCUGCCUCCUCCUGAGGACCAUCCCAGCUGCUGGACCCUGCUCCAGCUAUCUCUUGCUCCCUUCACACCUGCUGGAUGCCAUGGCCUCCUCUGGGCCCUGCUGGGACACCUGGGCACUUCCUAGGGCCCAAGCCUCGCUGGCUCUGUGGAGUUUCCAGCAAGCACACCAUCACUGGGUUCUAGCAGUGGGAGCAGGUGCCGGCUGGUGCCACGUCAUGCCCACUCCAGGCCCCACAGUGGGACUGCCUGGGUCCUGCAGGUUCCAGAGCUUUAAGGAAAUUCCUCUUUCACUGUGCUUGUGCCUCACCACCACAAUUAAUACACUUGUCUUUAUAUCCACCAAGUCAUCAAAUUCCGCAUUUAGUAUUUUUUAUGGAGGAAGGGACCCACAAAAGCAAAAGAACCCCGAGCUCACAACAAUCACAGUGCGGCUUGGGGCGCCACCCUGGCCACCACCACCACCACUGAGGCCAAAGACAGUGUUCGGGGAGGGGCCGGAGAUGGGCACGCUCCAGCCGUGCUCACUCAGACUGACCCCUCUGACAAGUAAAGCGUAGUCCUGGGCUGAGCGGUGUGCGCAUUUCUCUCCUUCAUCGUGAGUCCUUCACCCCUCUUGACUGCCCUGCCAAGUCACACCUGACCCAGGUGCUACCACACAGGCCAGUUUGACCCUUCCUUCUCCCUGACAGUGAACG